This is a small nuclear RNA of Myodes glareolus (Bank vole), 105 nucleotides long. Lineage: Eukaryota; Metazoa; Chordata; Mammalia; Rodentia; Cricetidae. The record is from RefSeq and is a predicted model, not a curated record.
GCUCACUUCAGCAGCACAUAUACUAAAACUGGAACCAUACAGAGAAGAUUAGCUUGGCCCCUGCGCAAGCAUGACAUGCAAAUUCGUGAAGCGGUCCAUAGUUUU